Molecule: small nuclear RNA, 107 nt
Filed under: Sciurus vulgaris (Eurasian red squirrel)
Lineage: Eukaryota; Metazoa; Chordata; Mammalia; Rodentia; Sciuridae
Source: RNAcentral
UUGCUCACUUCAGCAGCAUGUAUGCUAAAAUUGGAACAAUAUGGAGAAAACUAGCAUGGUCCCUGUGCAACGAUGACAUGCAAAUUCCUGAAGUGUUCCAUAUUUUU